This 440-nucleotide ribosomal RNA is filed under the name uncultured bacterium. Its description in RNAcentral is "partial 16S ribosomal RNA". It matches the Rfam family "Bacterial small subunit ribosomal RNA", at positions 338 to 795 of the family's 1533-position model. The record is from RNAcentral.
CCUACGGGAGGCAGCAGUGGGGAAUCUUGCGCAAUGGGGGAAACCCUGAUGCAGCGACGCCGCGUGAGUGAUGAAGGAUUUCGGUAUGUAAAGCUCUAUCAGCAGGGAAGAAAAUGACGGUACCUGACUAAGAAGCCCCGGCUAACUACGGGCCAGCAGCCGCGGUAAGACGUAGGGGGCAAGCGUUAUCCGGAUUUACUGGGUGUAAAGGGAGCGUAGACGGCAGCGCAAGUCUGAAGUGAAAUGCCGGGGCUUAACCCCGGAACUGCUUUGGAAACUGUGCAGCUAGAGUGCAGGAGAGGUAAGUGGAAUUCCAAGUGUAGCGGUGAAAUGCGUAGAUAUUAGGAGGAACACCAGUGGCGAAGGCGACUUACUGGACUGUAACUGACGUUGAGGUUCGAAAGCGUGGGGAGCAAACAGGAUUAGAUACCCCUGUAGUC